RNAcentral lists this ribosomal RNA (449 nucleotides) under uncultured bacterium. Its description in RNAcentral is "bacterial SSU rRNA". It matches the Rfam family "Bacterial small subunit ribosomal RNA", at positions 345 to 786 of the family's 1533-position model. The record is from RNAcentral.
GAGGCAGCAGUGGGGAAUAUUGCACAAUGGGCGCAAGCCUGAUGCAGCCAUGCCGCGUGUAUGAAAAAGGCCUUCGGGUUGUAAAGUACUUUCAGUCGUGAGGAAGGUGUUAAGGUUAAUAACCUUAGCAAUUGACGUUAGCGACAGAAGAAGCACCGGCUAACUCCGUGCCAGCAGCCGCGGUAAUACGGAGGGUGCGAGCGUUAAUCGGAAUUACUGGGCGUAAAGGGCACGCAGGCGGUUAAUUAAGUUGGAUGUGAAAUCCCCGGGCUUAACCUGGGAAUGGCAUUCAAGACUGGUUAGCUAGAGUCUUGUAGAGGGGGUAGAAUUCCAUGUGUAGCGGUGAAAUGCGUAGAGAUGUGGAGGAAUACCGGUGGCGAAGGCGGCCCCUGGACAAAGGCUGACGCUCAUGUGCGAAAGCGUGGGGAGCGAAACAGGGAUUAGAUACC